UACGUAGGGGGCAAGCGUUGUCCGGAAUUAUUGGGCGUAAAGCGCGUGUAGGCGGCUCGGUAAGUCUGCUGUGAAAGUCCAGGGCUCAACCCUGGAAUGCCGGUGGAUACUGUCGAGCUCGAGUCCGGAAGAGGCGAGUGGAAUUCCUGGUGUAGCGGUGAAAUGCGCAGAUAUCAGGAGGAACACCAAUGGCGAAGGCAGCUCGCUGGGACGUGACUGACGCUGAGACGCGAAAGCGUGGGGAGCAAACAGG
Molecule: ribosomal RNA, 253 nt
Filed under: uncultured bacterium
Lineage: Bacteria
Description: partial 16S ribosomal RNA
Rfam family: Bacterial small subunit ribosomal RNA
Source: RNAcentral